UUCUCCCACCUCUCAGCUGAUCGGCGGGUGGGCGGUUGGGCUUCCACGGAGGCCUCGUGUAGGCCUCUGUGAAGCCUGAACUCCAGUAGGGCCCAAGCCAGCCAGGAAGGAGGAGGCAGCCAGAGUGGCCACCACUGCUCUCUGCAGCAGAAGACCCCUUGCUGCCCUGCCGAACCCAGCAUUUGCCAGAUCCAAGAAGAUCAGUGUGAGGCAGCCAACGCAGCUGUUCCCAUUUUCUUUCAACUGACGCCUCUUUUUCAAGUCACUUCCAAUUGCCUAUCGCUCGCUGUGCAUUUGGGAAAGAGAAUUUUAAAUAUUAUCUGAAGCCACCUCGAGCGAAGAAAUGAUUCUGGAAUGUGUCAGAUCUGCUGCUUACAAAUUAAACAGCUGAAUAGCUUGGAGCUUCGUUGCCAAGAUAAAAGGAAUCAGUACAGCCUGGAUAUGGACUAAUAUCUAAGGAGAUAAGCUUAUGCCGGAUAUCGCGACAAUAGUGACAGUAGAAGAGAAUGUGAGCCGUCAUUUCAAUCUCACCAGAGCCACAGGGGCAAGUAAACUCUCCACAUGGAAUUCUUUGGUAUCUCCCUUCCAACACAGCUGUACACAAGGCAUUGCUUCGGGCCAAUGUCAGGGCUCUGCAGUACUAACUGGGGAACUGCUACCUUCUGGGCAGCAGCAGAAGAGCUUUCAAAUACUGCUCCCCCCGCUCCGGGAAUCACCCAACAUGGCACAGAGAAGGGGAGCAACAUCAUGAUGCUGUGUCCUUUCCAUUGCUCAGGGAUGGAUAAGGGUGGAUAUUGGUUGCCGUUGCUUUAUAUGUUUGGGGCGCUAGGACCCGUGAAAGGGCCUUCUCAGUUGCUGCCCCACUUCUCUGGAAUUCCCUUCCCCUGCAGAUUCGUUUAGCUCCUUCCUUGUUGAUUUUUAAAUCUUUAUUGAAGACUUUUCUCUUUCUCCAGGCUUUUACCCUGCAGUUUAUCUAUUUGGUUCUUUCUUUCUUUCAGUUACUUUAGUUUUCUUUAGAAUGUAAUUUUAAUGCUGUCUUGUUUUGCAUGUUUUUGUACACCGCCCAGAGUCUUCGGAGUGGGCAGUAUAUCAAAUGUUCCAAAUAAAUAAAUAAAUAAGUGGAUGGGACAGUAAACAAACA
Molecule: long non-coding RNA, 1141 nt
Organism: Hemicordylus capensis (graceful crag lizard)
Lineage: Eukaryota; Metazoa; Chordata; Lepidosauria; Squamata; Cordylidae
Exons: 3
Source: RefSeq, a predicted model, not a curated record